UUCCUUUGAUGAAGAACUGUGAUGUGGAA
This 29-nucleotide non-coding RNA is filed under the name Mus musculus (house mouse). Lineage: Eukaryota; Metazoa; Chordata; Mammalia; Rodentia; Muridae. The record is from RNAcentral.